GGUUAAGCGACUAAGCGUACACGGUGGAUGCCCUGGCAGUCAGAGGCGAUGAAGGACGUGCUAAUCUGCGAUAAGCGUCGGUAAGGUGAUAUGAACCGUUAUAACCGGCGAUUUCCGAAUGGGGAAACCCAGUGUGUUUCGACACACUAUCAUUAACUGAAUCCAUAGGUUAAUGAGGCGAACCGGGGGAACUGAAACAUCUAAGUACCCCGAGGAAAAGAAAUCAACCGAGAUUCCCCCAGUAGCGGCGAGCGAACGGGGAGCAGCCCAGAGCCUGAAUCAGUGUGUGUGUUAGUGGAAGCGUCUGGAAAGGCGCGCGAUACAGGGUGACAGCCCCGUACACAAAAAUGCACAUGCUGUGAGCUCGAUGAGUAGGGCGGGACACGUGGUAUCCUGUCUGAAUAUGGGGGGACCAUCCUCCAAGGCUAAAUACUCCUGACUGACCGAUAGUGAACCAGUACCGUGAGGGAAAGGCGAAAAGAACCCCGGCGAGGGGAGUGAAAAAGAACCUGAAACCGUGUACGUACAAGCAGUGGGAGCACGCUUCGGCGUGUGACUGCGUACCUUUUGUAUAAUGGGUCAGCGACUUAUAUUCUGUAGCAAGGUUAACCGAAUAGGGGAGCCGAAGGGAAACCGAGUCUUAACUGGGCGUUAAGUUGCAGGGUAUAGACCCGAAACCCGGUGAUCUAGCCAUGGGCAGGUUGAAGGUUGGGUAACACUAACUGGAGGACCGAACCGACUAAUGUUGAAAAAUUAGCGGAUGACUUGUGGCUGGGGGUGAAAGGCCAAUCAAACCGGGAGAUAGCUGGUUCUCCCCGAAAGCUAUUUAGGUAGCGCCUCGUGAAUUCAUCUCCGGGGGUAGAGCACUGUUUCGGCAAGGGGGUCAUCCCGACUUACCAACCCGAUGCAAACUGCGAAUACCGGAGAAUGUUAUCACGGGAGACACACGGCGGGUGCUAACGUCCGUCGUGAAGAGGGAAACAACCCAGACCGCCAGCUAAGGUCCCAAAGUCAUGGUUAAGUGGGAAACGAUGUGGGAAGGCCCAGACAGCCAGGAUGUUGGCUUAGAAGCAGCCAUCAUUUAAAGAAAGCGUAAUAGCUCACUGGUCGAGUCGGCCUGCGCGGAAGAUGUAACGGGGCUAAACCAUGCACCGAAGCUGCGGCAGCGACGCUUAUGCGUUGUUGGGUAGGGGAGCGUUCUGUAAGCCUGUGAAGGUGUGCUGUGAGGCAUGCUGGAGGUAUCAGAAGUGCGAAUGCUGACAUAAGUAACGAUAAAGCGGGUGAAAAGCCCGCUCGCCGGAAGACCAAGGGUUCCUGUCCAACGUUAAUCGGGGCAGGGUGAGUCGACCCCUAAGGCGAGGCCGAAAGGCGUAGUCGAUGGGAAACAGGUUAAUAUUCCUGUACUUGGUGUUACUGCGAAGGGGGGACGGAGAAGGCUAUGUUGGCCGGGCGACGGUUGUCCCGGUUUAAGCGUGUAGGCUGGUUUUCCAGGCAAAUCCGGAAAAUCAAGGCUGAGGCGUGAUGACGAGGCACUACGGUGCUGAAGCAACAAAUGCCCUGCUUCCAGGAAAAGCCUCUAAGCAUCAGGUAACAUCAAAUCGUACCCCAAACCGACACAGGUGGUCAGGUAGAGAAUACCAAGGCGCUUGAGAGAACUCGGGUGAAGGAACUAGGCAAAAUGGUGCCGUAACUUCGGGAGAAGGCACGCUGAUAUGUAGGUGAGGUCCCUCGCGGAUGGAGCUGAAAUCAGUCGAAGAUACCAGCUGGCUGCAACUGUUUAUUAAAAACACAGCACUGUGCAAACACGAAAGUGGACGUAUACGGUGUGACGCCUGCCCGGUGC
This 1843-nucleotide ribosomal RNA is filed under the name Escherichia coli. RNAcentral describes it as "partial 23S ribosomal RNA". It matches the Rfam family "Bacterial large subunit ribosomal RNA", at positions 1 to 1869 of the family's 2925-position model. The record is from RNAcentral. Lineage: Bacteria; Pseudomonadati; Pseudomonadota; Gammaproteobacteria; Enterobacterales; Enterobacteriaceae.